CACAAUUUUCUUCCAAAUCUGCGGAGUUAACUUGAGCAACACCUUGUCGCCCACACUGAAUUCCAGCAAUCUCCGCUUUUGAUUGGCAUAUUUGAGCAUUCUUUUCCUUGCCUUGCGCAAGCUAUCUUGCGCUUGCUCAAAUAGCUCCUGCCGCUCCAUCGCAAACCUGUAUGCUGCUGGACUCUUCCCACCCGAUAUCUGCACUGC
RNAcentral lists this long non-coding RNA (207 nucleotides) under Populus trichocarpa (black cottonwood). RNAcentral describes it as "long non-coding RNA (PTRI_LNC004507)". Lineage: Eukaryota; Viridiplantae; Streptophyta; Magnoliopsida; Malpighiales; Salicaceae. The record is from RNAcentral.